RNAcentral lists this long non-coding RNA (2689 nucleotides) under Homo sapiens (human). RNAcentral describes it as "CD300LD antisense RNA 1 (CD300LD-AS1)". Lineage: Eukaryota; Metazoa; Chordata; Mammalia; Primates; Hominidae. The record is from RNAcentral.
GGCCCUUGUUCACUAGAAGCAAGGAGCUCCCUGACCCCUUCUUUCAAAACAGAUCUCUUUGUCUUUGUCUUCAUUUCUGCAUUCGUCCCCCCUUUGUUCAAUCCCCUAGCAACCAACAGCGACAAGUGGUGGCCGGGACAGGAACGUGAGCAAAGAAGGUCUGCUGGAGCAGAGAAAGAGAAACUGACAAGACGAACGAGAAACCCUGGAACAAGUCUGCCGGCAGCCAAUAAAAGGGUCACCAUGGUGGGAGCGGAAGACAAUUUCACCAUAAACAGGCAGAGCUCCACAACCCAAGGAAUUCCUGGAACAGAAAUUGGACUCCAUGCCCAAAUCUGCUUUCUAUGGCAUCUGAAGGGAACUAAGAAACUACACACGACCUCCUGGGGAAAGAUGGGUAUAGGGGCUUCAUUUGUUCACUCUGAAAAAAGUUCUACAUCAGAAUGGAAAGACAACAAUUAAGCAUCUAACACAGAACCUGUCAGAUAACAAAAACUUGAUUGCUAUUUAAUGAAUAUGGGCAUGGAUGGAUGAAUUGGCGCUGUCAUUUUCCCUGACAUGUCUCCUUCCUGAGAACAGAGCGUCUCUGUCUCCAAGCCAGCCGCUGUCAUUCCAGUGCCUUAAAGCUCCAGCCACACUCACCUGGGAGGAUGAGAAGCAGCAGAGAUGGGGACAGCCACAUGGUCCUGUCUCCUCUCCUCUCCUUGGUGAUCACAGGUGUCUGGUGCCCUUCAGGGACUUGAAUCCAAGCUCGGAAGUCAACACCGCAAACCUACUCGAAUCUCCUUCAAGUCUCUUGCUCACUUCCUGUUACAUCUGUAGCUACUUCUCUUUUUACAUAUUAGGAGAAAAGAGGUGUCAUUCUUUGAAAAGACUAAGGUACAGUGUAUGUUGCAAGGUGUGCCCAAACUUUUGUGCAUGUGGAAAAGAAAAUGUGUCCGGGACUGGUCAGGUUUGCACGGGAGUGCACGUAGGAGCCAAGGAGCAGGAGGAGCCAGGAGGAACCCAAGCAUUGAGGAGCUGCGGGAUCUACUGCCUGGAGGAGAGGACGGACAAGGCCAGCCAUGAGGAGUGCAGGGAGAGGAGCACUUUGGGAAGACCACAGUGCACAGGACUCACACCCAGCCUUGCUGGAGAAAGCCCAUGCCCCAGGCUUCUUCCAGGCAGCCCCACUGUAAGACAUCUCAUUGCCUCUUCCUGCCCUGGGCUGUCUGACCCACUGCCCCUUCCCCCAGGAACACUUCCACUGGGAUCAUGAGUCACUCUGAAGCCACUCUGAAAUCACUCUGAAGCCAAAGCUGGGCUCAGUGGGGAAGGUCAGGAAUGGAGAAAUUGCCUUUUCUCGUUAGCCUCCUCUUGCCCUGAUUUCAUCCUCCCUAUCCCUGCACACUUUCCCCUGGCUGCUGUUGUAAUCUACUUGUUCUGCUGACGCCCGAACUGACUUCUUUCCCGGUCUCUCCCCACUUUCUUUAGAUGGUCCCUUCCCUCUUUCUCUCCCUUUCCCUCCUGAAUCGAUUCAUUUUUUCUCUCCUGUUUUAUAUUUUCCAUAUCUGUGGGCUUUGUUCUACAUUUGGGGAGCUUUUUAUAUUGUUUAUUUCAUGCUUGUACUUUCCCUUCCAAUCCUUGGAUCAAAUAUUGAUUUUAGAGACUGUAUUUUUAUUUCGAAAAGUUUUUUUGGUUCUUUGAUUACUGAUGUUUUCAAACUCUCUUCUGUUCCUUGAACUAUAUCCCUCCACUCAGUGGUCACAUCUUUGUUUUGUUGUCUGCUUCUUCUAUAUUAUGAGCCUUCCUCAAGUGUCUGCUGAUUCUUGGUUAUCCAAUCAUAGUUGAGAACAAGAUAAAGUGUAGCUAACUGAGACCUCAGAGUAUGUAGGAGUAAAUAGUAUAUAAAAUAGCUCUGGUGGCUCAUGCCUGUAAUCCAGCACUUUGGGAGGCCAAGGCGGACAGACCACCUGAGGUCAGGAGUUCGAAACCAGCCUGGCCAACAUGGAGAAACCCCAUCUCUACUAAAAAUACAAAAAUUAGCCAGGUGGUGGCACACGCCUGUAAUCCCAGCUACUCAGGAGGCUGAGGCAGGAGAAUCGCCUGAACCUGGGAGGUGGAGAUUGCAGUGAGCCCAGAUUGCACCACUGCUCUCUAGCCUGGGCAAAAAAACUAGUUCCAAAAAAGACACUUGUACACGCAUGUUUAUAGCAGCACAAUUUGCGAUUGAAAACAUAGGGAACCAGCCUAAAUGCCCAUCAAGCAAUGAGUGGAUAAAGACAAUGCGGUGUACAUAUACACCAUGGAAUACUAUUCAGCCACAAAAAGGAACAAAAUAAUGGCAUUCACAGCAACCUGGAUGGAGUUGGAGAUCAUUAUUCUAAGUGAAAUAACUCAGGAAUGGAGAACCAAAUAUUGUACAUCCUCACUUAUAAGUGGGAGCUGCGCUAUGAAGAUACAAAGGCACAAGAAUGAUACAAUGGAUUUUGGGGACUUAGGGGAAAGGAUGCAGGGGAUGAGGGAUAAAAAACCAUACAUUGGGUACAGUGUACACUGCUCCAGUGAAGGGUGCACCAAAAUCUCAGAAGUCACUGCUAAAGACCUUAUCCUUGUAACCAAAAGCCAUCUGCUCCCCAAAAACUAUUGAAAUAAAAUAAAAUAUAAAAAGAAAGAGAAAGAAAAGAAAAUAGUUCCAAUUUAUCAUGCC